AAUGUUUAUGCAUGUCAUGAUGUAUUGCCUCAGUGUCUUAAUGUAUUUUGUUCAUAUGAGAAGCUUAAAAUUGUGAUUCCUUACAUUAUGUUUAAAUGUUUGUGAUUACUUACAUUCCAUGUUGUAUAGUGGCCAGAUUGGUUAUGUGGAGGCAAUUGCCCUUGCAAUCGAAAAGUUCGUCAUAUCAUUGGUGGGAUUUACUUUUCCCUAAAGAUGGACUAUUUAAAUGGGCAACUACAAAGAGUUUGCAUUAGAUUUUGAGGUUUACUGCACAUUCAGAAUUUUUUUGUUUAUUUUUAUUUUUAUUAAAUGGUUUGUCACCUCUUAUGAUACGAAGAUGAAUGAAACAACAACCAACUUUAGAUUCACCUACAUUCUAAAUAAACUUAUAUUCAUCACCUGCUAUGCUAAUAGUUAGUCUAGACAUCAUCUAUUUUCAUAUUGUUAAAGUUAUGUUUCACAGUUUCAUUCUGAUAACAAUUGAAAGGCCUCUAAUUGCAGUGAAGUUUCUUUUGACUUCAAGGGGAAAACAUAACGAAAAUUCCAAGGGAGAAGUUCUAUGACAUUACUGAUAUGCAGCUUGAGAACAACAACAACAACAUACUCAGUAUAAUCCCACAAGUGGGGUCUGGGGAGGGUAUAUACGCAGGCCUUACCUCUACCUUUGUGGGGUAGAGAGGCUUGAGUGCAUCAAAACAUAUUGACCUGGUGCAGAGAACCAGUUUUGAAGAACUCACCAGAGACGGUGAAAGGCAUGUUUGAAUCAGAAAACAAAAGGAAAAGAAGUGCAAAGAAUGCAAUAGUGUUCACGAUGGGAUGUUUAAUUGGAAGUGGAAGGCAGAGAUUCUUAGUGAUGAUUGUUUUCAAGAAAGUAUUGAUGAACUCCUGUAAAUGUGAUGGAUAUGAGUCUAAAUACUGCUUUUGGAGGAUGAAGAGACCAACGAUCCCUAUUUUCCUCAUGUAUGACAUUUAUCUGUAUCAAACGAAAAGCUACAACUAUCAUUUACUAAUUAAAA
Lycium ferocissimum is the source of this 1016-nucleotide long non-coding RNA. RefSeq lists it as uncharacterized. The record is from RefSeq and is a predicted model, not a curated record. The transcript has 3 exons. NCBI's taxonomy places the organism in Eukaryota, Viridiplantae, Streptophyta, Magnoliopsida, Solanales, Solanaceae.